UUGCUAACGCGGGGGUCCUGCGUUGCGCCAUUCGGAAUGCGGCGCAUCGCGGGUGAGAAAUACCCUUUGAACCUGAUCUGGAUAAUGCCAGCGCAGGGAAGCGUACGGGCCUCGCCA
Molecule: non-coding RNA, 117 nt
Filed under: Burkholderia gladioli
Lineage: Bacteria; Pseudomonadati; Pseudomonadota; Betaproteobacteria; Burkholderiales; Burkholderiaceae
Description: TPP sequence
Rfam family: TPP riboswitch aptamer (THI element)
About the family: Vitamin B(1) in its active form thiamin pyrophosphate (TPP) is an essential coenzyme that is synthesised by coupling of pyrimidine and thiazole moieties in bacteria. The previously detected thiamin-regulatory element, thi box was extended, resulting in a new, highly conserved RNA secondary structure, the THI element, which is widely distributed in eubacteria and also occurs in some archaea. Analysis of operon structures identified a large number of new candidate thiamin-regulated genes, mostly transporters, in various prokaryotic organisms.
Source: RNAcentral